GCCACAGUAGUUCAGUCGGUAGAACACAACAUUGGUAAUGUUGAGGUCAGGAGUUCAAUUCUCCUCUGUGGCU
This 73-nucleotide transfer RNA is filed under the name Nanobdellota archaeon. RNAcentral describes it as "tRNA-Thr". It matches the Rfam family "tRNA". Rfam says of the family: Transfer RNA (tRNA) molecules are approximately 80 nucleotides in length. Their secondary structure includes four short double-helical elements and three loops (D, anti-codon, and T loops). The record is from RNAcentral. Lineage: Archaea; Nanobdellati; Nanobdellota.